This 396-nucleotide ribosomal RNA is filed under the name uncultured bacterium. Its description in RNAcentral is "partial 16S ribosomal RNA". It matches the Rfam family "Bacterial small subunit ribosomal RNA", at positions 523 to 918 of the family's 1533-position model. The record is from RNAcentral.
AUACGUAGGUGGCGAGCGUUGUCCGGAAUUAUUGGGCGUAAAGAGCAUGUAGGCGGCCUAUUAAGUCGAGCGUGAAAAUGCGGGGCUCAACCCCGUAUGGCGCUGGAAACUGGUAGGCUUGAGUGCAGGAGAGGAAAGGGGAAUUCCCAGUGUAGCGGUGAAAUGCGUAGAUAUUGGGAGGAACACCAGUGGCGAAGGCGCCUUUCUGGACUGUGUCUGACGCUGAGAUGCGAAAGCCAGGGUAGCGAACGGGAUUAGAUACCCCGGUAGUCCUGGCCGUAAACGAUGGGUACUAGGUGUAGGAGGUAUCGACCCCUUCUGUGCCGCAGUUAACACAAUAAGUAUUCCGCCUGGGGAGUACGGCCGCAAGGUUGAAACUCAAAUGAAUUGGCGGGG